Molecule: long non-coding RNA, 505 nt
Filed under: Ananas comosus (pineapple)
Lineage: Eukaryota; Viridiplantae; Streptophyta; Magnoliopsida; Poales; Bromeliaceae
Description: long non-coding RNA (ACOM_LNC041066)
Source: RNAcentral
UUUACAGCAUUUAAAACUUCUAGAAAUCAAAUUUUAUAAUUUUUCGACAUCAUUUACCUUACGAUCAAGAGGUCACAAAUUUGACAAUUUUUAAUGGCCGGUAUGGGAUACUUGCUUGUUUAACGGUGUAAAAGAAUCAGAAUUUGUUGAAUUUUUGAUAGAAAAUUCUAUUCACUACCUAGAUAAAGAUCAAUAACUCCGAUCUUGAAUUGAAGGAUCCGAUCAUCCUUUUUUAGGACGUCGUUCGAUUUUGACCGUUCAUUUUAUGCCCGCUUGAUGGAAUUUAUUAUGAUUCGAAAAUUUACGAAAUAUAUUUUUUAGAAGUUUCAAAUACUCUAAAUUAUAUUUAACGGAGUGGAUUGUCGAUUCGGAAACUCCAUCAUCGAAAACAACUUAUGAGUACAAGGGCUCCAAUACUCAUAAUAGUAUAGUAGCCACGGCCUGUAUUUAUAUACAUAUAUAUAUAUACAUAUUUAUAUGUAUAUAUAUAUAUAUAUAUACAUAU